This is a long non-coding RNA of Mytilus californianus (California mussel), 3162 nucleotides long. RefSeq lists it as uncharacterized. The transcript has 3 exons. The record is from RefSeq and is a predicted model, not a curated record. NCBI's taxonomy places the organism in Eukaryota, Metazoa, Mollusca, Bivalvia, Mytilida, Mytilidae.
AUUUUAAAUUGGACAUUCACAUAUUAUGGUCCAAUAUCCAAAAUCUAAAUACAUGGUUAGAUUCAGCAUAUCAAAGAACCCCAAGAAUUCAAUUUUUGAUGAAAUCAAACAAAGUUUAAUUUUGGACCCUUUUGACCUCAAUGUGAACCAAUUUGAUAGCAGGCCCACAAAUAAAAAAUCUAAAUACAUGGUAAGAUUCAGCAUAUCAAAGAACCCCAUAUAUUCAGUUUUUGUUGAAAUCAAACAAAGUUUAAUUUUGGACCCCAGUUUGGACCAACUUGAAAACUGGGCCAAAAAUCUAAAAUCUAAAUACAUGUUUAGAUUCAGCAUAUCAAAGAACCCCAUAUAUUCAAUUUUUGUUGAAAUCAAACAAAGUUUAAUUUUGGACCCCAACUUGGACCAACUUGAAAACUGGUCCCAUAAUCAAAAAUCUAAACACAUGUUUAGAUUCAGCAUAUCAAAGAACCCCAAGAAUUCAAUUUUUGUUAAAAUCAAACUUAGUUUAAUUUUGGACCCUUUGGACCUUAAUGUAGACCAAUUUAAAAAACGGGACCCAAAAUUAAAAAUCUAAAAACACGGUUAGAUUUGGCAUAUCAAAGAACCCCAAGAAUUCAAUUUUUGAUGAAAUCAAACAAAGUUUGAUUUUGGACCCUUUUGACCUCAAUAUGAACCAAUUUGAUAGCGGGGCCCACAAAUAAAAAAUCUAAAUACAUGGUAAGAUUCAGCAUAUCAAAGAACCCCAUAUAUUCAGUUUUUGUUGAAAUCAAACAAAGUUUAAUUUUGGACCCCAGUUUGGACCAACUUGAAAACUGGGCCAAAAAUCUAAAAUCUAAAUACAUGUUUAGAUUCAGCAUAUCAAAGAACCCCAUAUAUUCAAUUUUUGUUGAAAUCAAACAAAGUUUAAUUUUGGACCCCAACUUGGACCAACUUGAAAACUGGUCCCAUAAUCAAAAAUCUAAACACAUGUUUAGAUUCAGCAUAUCAAAGAACCCCAAGAAUUCAAUUUUUGUUAAAAUCAAACUUAGUUUAAUUUUGGACCCUUUGGACCUUAAUGUAGACCAAUUUAAAAAACGGGACCCAAAAUUAAAAAUCUAAAAACACGGUUAGAUUUGGCAUAUCAAAGAACCCCAAGAAUUCAAUUUUUGAUGAAAUCAAACAAAGUUUGAUUUUGGACCCUUUUGACCUCAAUAUGAACCAAUUUGAUAGCGGGGUCCACAAAUAAAAAAUCUAAAUACAUGGUUAGAUUCAGCAUAUCAAAGAACUCCAUAUAUUCAAUUUUUGUUGAAAUCAAACAAAGUUUAAUUUUGGACCCAAAUUUGGACCAACUUGAAAACUGGGCCAAAAAUCAAAAAUCUAAAUACAUGUUUAGAUUCAGCAUAUCAAAGAACCCCAUAUAUUCAAUUUUUGUUAAAAUCAAACAAAUUUUUAUUUUGGACCCUUUGGACCUUAAUGUAGACAGACCAAUUUGAAAACUGGAUCCAAAAUUAAAAAUCUAAAUACAUCGUUAGAUUCGGCAUAACAAAUAAAUAAAUGUGGUCAAAGAUUUUACAAAUCUAAUGUGCCAUACUGUGCAGUUGAUAACGGGGCCCAAAAAUCUAAAUACAUGGUUAGAUUCAGCAUAUCAAAGAACCCCAUAUAUUCAAUUUUUGUUGAAAUCAAACAAAGUUUAAUUUUGGACCCCGAUUUGGACCAACUUGAAAACUGGGCCCAUAAUCAAAAUUCUAAAUACAUGUUUAGAUUCAGCAUAUCAAAGAACACUAAACAUUCAAUUUUUGUUUAAAUCAAACUAAGUUUAAUUUUGGACCCUUUGGACCUUAAUGUACUCCAAUUUGAAAACGGAACCAAAAAUUAAGAAUCUAAAUACACGGUUAGAUUCGGCAUAUCAAAGAACCCCAAUAAUUCAAUUUUUGAUGAAAUCAAACAAAGUUAAAUUUUGGACCCUUUGGACCUCAAUGUGGACCAAUUUAAAAACGGGGCCCAAAAUCCAAAAACUUAAUACACGGUUAUAUUCAUCAUAUUAAAGAACCCCAAGAAUUCAAGAAUAAAACCCCAUUGAAAUUGAUCAAGAAAUGAGCAAUUUAUAAGAAGUAUCUUCUUUUGCACAAUACUGUGCAAUUGAAUAUUUCUUGCUAUUGCGCAAUACUGUACAAUUGACAAUUUCUUGCUAUUGCGCAAUAUUGUGCUAUUGGAUAUUUCUUGCUAUUGCGCAAUACUGUGCAAUUGAAGAUUUCUUGCUAUUGCGCAAUACUGUGCAAUUGAAGAUUUCUUGCUAUUGUGCAAUACUGUGCAAUUGAAAAUUUCUUGCUAUUGCACAAUACUUAUUAUAUAAAAAUUUACACAUCCUGUUUGGUGUGUAUCUCCUACAAUAUCAUUAUUAUUUGCUUUUAUAUAUAAAUCAGAAAUAACCAACUUAAAAUGGAAAAUUUUAAAAGAAAAAAAAAAGGAAAAAAAGAAAAAAAAAAGAAAAAAAAAAAAAUCCCCCCCCCCAAAUUUUUUGAACCCCCUUAUGAUUCAUCACCCCCAAACUCAAUCCCAGCCUUCCCUUUGUGGUAUGGUACCUUGCAGUACAAUUUCAGAGAGAUCCAUACACUUGAACACAAGUUAUUGUCUUGAAACUAGAAAAAUGCUUAUUUUUGGCCCCUUUUUGGCCCCCAAUUCCUAAACGUUUCAGGCAAUUACCCCCGAACUCAAUUCCAGCUUUCCCUUUGUGAUAUGGAACCUUGUAGUACAAUUUCAGAAAUAUCCAAACACUUACACACAAGUUAUUGUCAUGAAACUAGAAAAAUGCUUGUUUUUUGCCCCUUUUUUGGCCCCUUAUUCCUAAAAUUUUGAGGCAAUUACCCCCAAAAUCAAUUACAGCCUUCCCUUUGUGAUAUGGAACCUUGUGGUACAAUGUCAGAGAGAUCCAUACACUACCACACAAGUUAUGUCUGGAAGUUACAAAAAUGCUUAUUUUUGGCCCCCUAAUUCCUUAACUGUUGGUACAGUAACCCCCAAAAUCAAUCCCAACCUUCCUUUUGUGGAAUUGAACCUUAUGGUAAAAUUUCAUAGAGAUCCAUUAACUUAAACUUAUGUUAGAGUGCGAAAACCAAUGUGUCUUCGGACGACGACAACGCCAACGUCAUACCAAUAUACGACCACAAAAUAUUUUUGCAGCCGUAU